ACCGGCAGCUCAAGUGGUGGCCAUUUUUAUUGGGCCUAAAGCGUUCGUAGCCGGUUUGAUAAGUCUCUGGUGAAAUCCCGCAGCUUAACUGUGGGACUUGCUGGAGAUACUAUUAGACUUGAGGUCGGGAGAGGUUAGGGGUACUCCCAGGGUUGGGGUGGAAUCCUCUAAUCCUGGGAGGACCACCUGUGGCGAAGGCGUCUCACUGGUACGAACCUGCCGGUGAGUAACGAAAGCUAGGGGCGCGAAUCG
RNAcentral lists this ribosomal RNA (252 nucleotides) under uncultured prokaryote. RNAcentral describes it as "partial 16S rRNA". It matches the Rfam family "Archaeal small subunit ribosomal RNA", at positions 475 to 726 of the family's 1478-position model. The record is from RNAcentral.